AGUCACAUCCUGUGCGGGUGAGCGGCGGGCCAGGCCCGGCAGUUGUUUCGACACGCGCCGAGCUUCGCAGCUCUUCCAGGGCUCCGCUGCCCGAGCUAGCCCGGGCCCAGUUCUGGGGCGAAAAUGCCAGCCCUUCACAUCGAAGAUUUGCCAGAGAAGGAAAAACUGAAAAUGGAAGUUGAGCAGCUUCGCAAAGAAGUGAAGUUGCAGAGACAACAAGUGUCUAAAUGUUCUGAAGAAAUAAAGAACUAUAUUGAAGAACGUUCUGGAGAGGAUCCUCUAGUAAAGGGAAUUCCAGAAGACAAGAAUCCCUUUAAAGAAAAAGGCAGCUGUGUUGUUUCAUAAAUAACUUGGGAGAAACUGCAUCCUAAGUGGAAGAACUAGUUUGUUUUAGUUUUCCCAGAAAAAACCAACAUGCUUUUUAAGGAAGGAAGAAUGAAAUUAAAAGGAGACUUUCUUAAGCACCAUAUAGAUAGGGUUAUGUAGAAAAGCAUAUGUGCUACUCAUCUUUGCUCACUAUGCAGUCUUUUUUAAGAGGGCAGAGAGUAUCAAAGGUGCAAUUAUGGAAAUAUGAGCAUUACUUGAGCAUGACACUUCUUUCAGUAUAUUGCUUGAUGCUUCAAAUAAAGUUUUAUCUUGGGAAGAUGAGUGUUGGUGAUUUAAGAAGGCACUUUUCAUCCAUUAACUUUUAUAUUUCUCCCCAAAAUCUUUUGGGUGUGGAAUAUGAUUGGGCUUGGAAUAUGAUUGAGAAGAUUAGGUGGUUCGACAGAUCACACCUCCAAUCCAGCUCUCUGCAUCAACGGUUUAGAGUGCUGAGUUCUGACCACAGGAAUGUGUUUGAUCUAACCUUAACUAUUUAGAAACUGAGCAGGUAGAAUUCCUAUAACAUUGACAGAAGUCACAUUAUCUGAGUCAGGAACAAGGCCAAGCCACAUCUAUGUUAGUAAUAUCCUAGUUUAUCAUCAUUUAGAUCUUCUUAAUAGUGUUCCUGUAGGAGUAGCCUUGAAGAAAAGACUGAGUUGGGGAUCAGGAAGGGUGCCCUGCCUCUCCGCAGCAUAGUGGCCAGGCCAGCCCUGGCUUUGAGGACCAGUACUUAACCUGCACAGAGCUACAUCUCCCAUGUGCUCUCCAGGUCUUGGGCACGGCACUACUCCAGUUCUGUGGCAUUGGUGCAGACACUUGGAUCUCUGCACUCAUGCUUACCAGCAUUUUCCAGCAGGCCUUGGUCAAACAUGGCUCUUUUUCUUCUCCUCCAAAGGCACCAGUGAAUCUUUGCCCACUUUAAAGAUUAGUUGGUCUUUUUCUUACUGAUGUGUAGGAAUUCUUCAUAUAUUCUGGCCUUUAUUCAUGGUUGGUGAUAUGUGUUGCAAAUACCUUUUCCCAGUCUGUGGCUUACGUUUUCACAGUGACGUUUCCUUCAGUGGUUUCAUCCUGCAGGGGCAACAUGCCAGAGUAUAACUCCUGCUGAAGUUCAUAACAAGGGUACCUGAAGCCCAAACCUCAAAAAAAGGGACCUUUCUUUCUCUCCUUGAGCAUUCUCCCGCUUUCUCCUCCAUCUUUGGGUCAAAAUUGCUCCAAGUUUGAGCCAAAAGAAAAACAUGGAAAAACCCUUGCUGGUUAGCUCUAGCUCAAAUGGACUUAGUUAUUAACUUGACCUGCAAUUUUCAAUGUGGCACCAGAAGCCAAUAUUUCUCCUUGACUGGAUCUUUUCUCCCACUUAGACAUGUAGGUAUACCUUACUAUCAAGCCAGAGAGGUGCCUGUAACCUGUAGCACUUCCUAAAGUAUAUCAGCAUCCUCACUCUGAAAUUCCUUUCCUUUCCCUCUCUGGGAAAGAACAGUAUUCCCUAGGCUUUUGAAAAAUAGGUCACACAAACCAAGAGCAGGAACUAUUUCCUUCAGUUUCCUGACACUUUCCAAGUGAUGAUGUCAAUUGGGAUUACUGAGAGCCAAGGGAUAAUUUUAGCCCAAAAUUACUACUCCUAGGAAGGAUUUAGGAAUAGUAAAGGUAUAUUUCUUCCAAACAGCAUAGAACAAUUAGUACUAUUAGUCAUUUAACAUUUAACAUGGUAUGGAAAUAGAGCUUUGGUGCCUGUAAAGUUUUACUUUUAUUAGCUGUUUCAUUUCUUUGCACUCAUAAAGUUUUCUUUUGUUGCUUAUGAAAGCAAACAUUUAUUCCGGUUACUGGCAAGGCAGAUUAAAUCACCUGCUUCUUUUAUGAAGGGCCAAGACACAUUUAUUCCCUAACUUGUUGGGAGUUUUGAUUACAAAUCUAUAUCCUGAUGUCUAUUAGCAGAUUCAGCUAUCCUUUCAUGUACACUCCCAAGUCCUAGCUUUGGCUCUUCAUGUCUCUUUCAACCAUAUGAUCAAUCAGUCAAGACGACCUCUGGUUUUUCCUAAAUAAAUAUCUAAUCUUGUAGGUGCUUCUAUUAAAUCUAAUUCUGUUUCUUUUUCUUACUGUUUAUCAUUAUAACUCAGCCAACACGUAGGACUGCAAUGAAAAUAUUUUAAUUUUCUACUGUUCAACUGCUAAAACUUAUUAGCUUGUAUUAGAAAAAGAAAAAAUGCAUCCACUAUAUAUUUGGAUAUAUUGUAAAUGUAACCUUUGGUGACUGAGAAUUUGUUAAGCAGAAUUUAAAUUAUGUAUCCAAUUCAUUCCAAGUGUAUGGUUGCGUAAUUAUUUACUAUUUGAUUAAAAAUAGUUAUCAUGCAU
This 2712-nucleotide long non-coding RNA is filed under the name Macaca fascicularis (crab-eating macaque). RNAcentral's name for it is "lncRNA (ENSMFAG00000054901.1)". Lineage: Eukaryota; Metazoa; Chordata; Mammalia; Primates; Cercopithecidae. The record is from RNAcentral.